RNAcentral lists this ribosomal RNA (460 nucleotides) under uncultured bacterium. RNAcentral describes it as "partial 16S ribosomal RNA". It matches the Rfam family "Bacterial small subunit ribosomal RNA", at positions 338 to 795 of the family's 1533-position model. The record is from RNAcentral.
CCUACGGGAGGCAGCAGUGAGGAAUAUUGGUCAAUGGGCGCGAGCCUGAACCAGCCAAGUAGCGUGAAGGAUGACUGCCCUACGGGUUGUAAACUUCUUUUAUAAAGGAAUAAAGUGAGGCACGUGUGCCUUUUUGUAUGUACUUUAUGAAUAAGGAUCGGCUAACUCCGUGCCAGCAGCCGCGGUAAUACGGAGGAUCCGAGCGUUAUCCGGAUUUAUUGGGUUUAAAGGGAGCGUAGAUGGGUUUAUAAGUCAGUUGUGAAAGUUUGGGGCUCAACUGUAGAAUUGCAUUUGAUACUGGAAGUCUUGAGUACAGUUGAGGUAGGCGGAAUUUGUGGUGUAGCGGUGAAAUGCUUAGAGAUCACGAAGAACACCGAUUGCGAAGGCAGCUUACUAAACUGCCACUGACAUUGAUGCUCGAAAGUGUGGGUAUCAAACAGGAUUAGAUACCCCGGUAGUC